This 408-nucleotide unclassified non-coding RNA is filed under the name soil metagenome. Its description in RNAcentral is "partial contains 5.8S ribosomal RNA, internal transcribed spacer 2, and large subunit ribosomal RNA". The stretch from base 1 to 120 matches the Rfam family "5.8S ribosomal RNA", at positions 35 to 154 of the family's 154-position model. The record is from RNAcentral.
GAUGAAGAACGCAGCGAAUUGCGAUAAGUAAUGUGAAUUGCAGAAUUACGUGAAUCAUCGAAUCUUUGAACGCAUAUUGCACUCUCUGGUAUUCCGGGGAGUAUGCCUGUUUGAGGGUCAGUAAAUAAUAAUUAUCAUAAUCUUUUGAUUGUGGAAUUGGGCCUUUAUUUCAUUUUUAAUGAUUUAUGGCCUUAAAUUUAUGUUACCGCUUGUUUAAUAUGAAAUUCGACCGAAUGGAGCAAUUAAACAUUCUCUCGUUAGGCGGAUUCAUCAAGCAAUUACGAUUUUUUGGCCGUCGAAGCACUUUUUUUUUAGAAGUGCUUGGUCGAGAUUGUAAGAUACAUUUAACAAUGACCUCAAAUCAGGCAAGAAUACCCGCUGAACUUAAGCAUAUCAAUAAGCGGAGGA